AAGUCGUAACAAGGUUUCCGUAGGUGAACCUGCGGAAGGAUCAUUAUUGAAUAAACUUGGUUAGGUUGCUGCUGGUCUUUAGGGACAUGUGCACACCUGAUUCAAUUUUAACCACCUGUGCACCUUUUGUAGACUUGGAUAUUUGUCUGAGGAAACUCAGUAUGAGGAUUGCUGUGCGAAAGUCAGCUUUUCUUGCAUUCCUAGUCUAUGUUUUAUAUACCCCAAUAAGCAAGUAAUAGAAUGUAAUUAAUAGGCCUUUUGUGCCUUUAAAGCAAAUAUAACUUUCAACAACGGAUCUCU
RNAcentral lists this unclassified non-coding RNA (300 nucleotides) under Entolomataceae sp. RNAcentral's name for it is "partial contains small subunit ribosomal RNA and internal transcribed spacer 1". The stretch from base 1 to 46 matches the Rfam family "Eukaryotic small subunit ribosomal RNA", at positions 1786 to 1831 of the family's 1831-position model. The record is from RNAcentral. Lineage: Eukaryota; Fungi; Basidiomycota; Agaricomycetes; Agaricales; Entolomataceae.